This 2858-nucleotide long non-coding RNA is filed under the name Daphnia pulex (common water flea). RNAcentral describes it as "uncharacterized LOC124207476, transcript variant X2". The record is from RNAcentral. Lineage: Eukaryota; Metazoa; Arthropoda; Branchiopoda; Diplostraca; Daphniidae.
GUCGUCUGCUGUCGUCUUUGUUUUGCCAUUUUCCGAUUUAUUUUCGAAAUAAAGACCAGUUAAAGAUUCCAAAGAAAACGAAACAAUAAUUUUUUGGGAAACGUAACGUGUCUGUUGCUACACGAAAAAUAGCACAAAAAAAAUGAAAUUUCAAAAAUGUGGCCGUCGUGUGGAUUCCGAUGUCUCUUCAUAGAAUAGCUUAAUACACACUUCAUGUUGUGGUGCUCAGAUUCAAGGACAGAGCCAGCCAUCUUAAUCACUUGUUAUGCCAAUUUUGCUUGUGCCGGUGUUGUCUAUGUCUUCAGCAGCGAUCUCAUCACUAUCAUCAGUAACUUGGCAUUUUGAUUGGAGAAACUACCGAUGUUGGUCGAGUUCUUCCUCUAUCUCUAAGUCCCUUUUGUCCUCGUGUACAUCCAUGUGAAUGUGGUUGUAUUCACGAGGACCCCCUUUUUCCCAUCCCGCCUCGUGGAUUCUGUGGAUGGAGUGCCUGGAGAUGCCUGGCUGUAUUUCCCAGGCUUAAAGGUCAUAAUGGGGAUACCAUAUUUCAGAUAAAUCAGUCCAAUAACCACUGUCCAUCCACCAGCAAUAACCAAGACUGCCCAUCUUCAAAUCACGAUUCAUCAACAAGUACACCUUCGCUGAGUUUUCAAAUUCGAAUCGGAGAACCCGAAGAAGGCACAAGUGGGCCAGAACCACCAUUGGGUACUGUCAUCCGUAGAGGUAUAUCAGUGAUUGGCCAAGACCAACUGAUGGCCACGCCUAGUACCAGUAAAAACUACGAGGGUGUGACUAGCGAGCCAAACAGGGUUGUAAAUGGUGUGGUUCCGCAUGCACCCGAAAUGUUACACUCGGAAGAUCCAAAUGAAGAUGAAGAGAUUGAUAGGCGUUCCAAAAUGUUUUUAGUUGCUAUAGUCAGGCAGCAGAAAAAGAAAUUCUUGUCAUGUUGGAUGCUGACACACUAAAACAUUGUUUGGACCACCUCCGCAAGUCCCCGUUGCUUAUUUGCAGUUUUUGUCAUGAACUCUUUGAAGACAUAUCGCCCUUUCAAGUGCACAUUCAGACCUGCUGCUCUCCGCCAGGAGUUGAAGUUAAGCAAAAAAUGGAUCAAGCUGCCAUGGAUCAGCUUACCCGCUCCUUGUGGAAAUCUGUUUUCUUAAAAGAAUUACAGAAUACGCCAAUCGGGCAAAAUUUAAAGCAACACGAAGGACACUUGCAUAACGAACUAAAUCAGAUUUGGUUAUCUGGGUCUUUUGAGCCCAUGCUUAAAUGUCGGGAAAUUUUUAUUCGAGCUGCUGUAGCCAUAGUCUCUCGUAGGUGGGUUACGAACGCUGUCGCCAACGAACUUCAUCGUGUCAGAGCAAUUAAACCUAAGUAACCGAAAAAGCGUGUCAAGAUUGAUUCUGACACGGAUCAGUCAGUCGCAGAUCCAAAUUCAUCCAAAUCUGAAAAAUCAUCUGUCUGGAAGAAGAGAAAGAUUUGUGGCAGGCCAAACAGUAAGAAUGAUCUUGCCAUCCGAGGACUUCUCAAUGAUCAGGAUGAGACGAGCAGCAACACUACUCAGUAUUACUUAACUCCGGAAACGCCCGUGUCCGACCAUGGAAUAGACGUGAUGCCAGUGUUGCCUCCCAGUGUGGAUGCGACAGAACAGUCCCGCCUAACAAACAGUAGAGAAGACUCCGUUACGACACCCAUAACAUACAGUGGAGUAGAUUUUACACCCGAAAUGGAUUACGAAUUGGACCGUUUAGUCAGAGGAGUGCCUGAUGUUGACUUACUCGCAGAAGCCGCCAAAGGUUUUGAAAAUCUUGAUAACGCAUCUGACGCGUGGGAAAAUAAUACCACUGCGGAUGAACCGUUAAGCGAAAACGAGUUUGUUGUUGGCAAGAUCUUAGAUCGUCGGUUGCUUUACAAAGUUGAAGAUUUCAAUCCACUAGAAGAAGAUUACGCGUACCUCGUUUCAUGGGAAGGUUACGGUGAAGAAGACAACACCUGGGAACCUUACGAACAUCUAAACGGGACCCCUUCCCCAUCUUUCUUUCUCUCAGACAUGUUGAUGACGAAAAUGAUAGCGAGAAUGUCCGGGCCGAUCUGAUAGUUGGCGCUCCGUUUUACUACGACCGAGAAGCGGGCGAAGCCGUCUACGUCUAUUCCAACCCGCCCGACGGUGGUCUGACGGCCGAUACGACCUACGUCAAGCUCGUAGGCAAACCUGAAUCAAGAUUUGGACUUUCCUUCUUUUUGUGUGUGUGGUUACAGCGUCGUUACAUUCAGAUUCUUCACGGUGACGUGUUACUCGAGUGCAUCAACUUGUCGGAGGCCCAGGGAGAGUGGAAGGACAUAAGACGGGGACCCAACAUGUUGUUCGUCGUUUCCAGUAGCAAGGAAAGCAGCCGCAAAUUUCGUAUUCGCUUUCAACCAAACAACCAGGAAGAACCGACGACCGUGGCCUACGCCUGCGCCUGUUACCUGUCCCGCUUUUUCAAUUUGCACGACGCCGAUCGACAAGGUCAAGACGACGACCAUCCACCUUCUUGCACCAUCUCGAUCGAGUAGUUGUCCAUCGCCGUUUUGGAUCCUCAAAAUUCCAAAUGGCCUUCGGAUUAUGCGGAUAUUGGUGAGUCUCCCGAACUUGUGCCGGACCUCCUACGUUCUUGCCUAAUGGAUCCUAAUUUCCCCGCUCUGGUCGAGGCUGUGGAAAGUUCGCUGAAGAAGUUGAUGAACUCGGAGAAUUCGAGUCAAAAUCAAAUUUUUUUCACCCUUUUUCUUAAUGUCAUUUAUAACCAGGCAAUCGUAAUUUUUUUAACACUGUAAUAUUUAAAUGAAUCGUUGGUUUUUUCAUACACAAGAUGGGUUUUCUA